GAUUAAUUAUCAUAGGUGUAGCAUUUUUGCUUGUUUCUUACACUUUAUUCUUCCCUUUGUAACUGUUGGAUUGAAAGUUAAGUUUCUUAAAUAACUAGUCGUCCUAGUUGCUUGUUUUUCAACCAAUUCUUCUCACUUGUAUAAUUUGUCUCCUCUUGCAUUCUAAUUCAAUAAGAAUGAUGAGAAUCUUGUUUAAAGUUUACAACAUGGUAUCAGAGCUCUCAAUCUGAGAGCUCUGCUACACAAAUUCCUCCUACCUUAUUCUCUACAAAAUCACAUUUCAGAGGCACACGUUUUUCUUUCAAUCAUCCAUUGACCUGCAACACUUAGUCUCUGCCAUAAUUAUGCAUUUCUUGGUCAUGAAUUCCAAUCACGCUUUUCAUCCUUUGAGGUUUGUUCUCUUUCUUAUAUAUUCCUUUCACUAAAAUCAUUAAAAUGGCGUAUAUUGACUUUGAUGAAUCACAAGCUAAUCCAUAUCUCUUUUCACUUAGAAUUUAUCCAAAAAAGUCCUUCUAGUCCUUCUUACCUUCUAAGGAAAACCUAGGAGCAAUUCUUGUUUUAUCAUCAAUGGAGGGUGAAAACUAUCAUUCAUGGAGAACAUCCAUGAAAAUGGUAUUAUUUUCUCAAAAUAAAUACAAGUUUGUUGACGGAUCAAUAACAAGGUCUACCAUCAAUGAUCUAAAUCUUGAUGUAUUGUAGAGAUGCAACACUAUGAUUGUUUCUUAGAUUACCAGAUCCAUCUUUUAUCAAAGUGUACAAAGUAAAUGUACAUAUGGAGUCCUUGAGGCCAACACCUUCUUGUGUAUAUGAAGUGCAAUGUAAGUUUAACCUUGUCAAGAACAUCAAAGCUCAUGGAAAAUUAGAAUAUGUGAUUUGUGUAACACCGCGAAUUUUACGAUUUUGAAUUAUAAGAUUUUAUUAAUAUUUUUAUUAAUUAUAUAUUCGAAAAUGAAUUUCUGGGAAUUUUACAUCGUGACAUAGUGGUGUCCGAAUAUGACACCCGGAUCUCCUAAACCAUCUCAAAGGUUUUGGAGUUAACUUGGGUUUUAGGAAACCCAAUAUUUUUAUGUUUGGAUGCUUUUGAAUAUAUAUGAUUGUUAAGGAAAUGUAUUGAAUAUUGUAUAUGUGAGAGAGAACACAUCGUGACAUAGUGGUGUCCGAAUAUGACACCCGGAUCUCCUAAACCAUCUCAAAGGUUUUGGAGUUAACUUGGGUUUUAAGAAACCCAAUAUUUUUAUGUUUAGAUGUUUGUGAAGAUAUAUGUUUGUGAAGAUAUAUGUUUGUUGAGGAAAUGUAUUGAAUAUUGUAUGUGAGAGAGAACACAUCGUGACAUAGUGGUGUCCGAAUAUGACACCCGGAUCUUCAAAACCAUCUCAAAGGUUUUGAGGGUUAACUUGGGUUUUAAGAAACCCAAUAUUUUUAUGUUUGGAUGAUUUUGAAUAUAUGUGAUUGUUGAGGAUAUAUAGUGAAUAUUGUAUGUGAGAGAGAACAUAUCUUGACAUAGUGGUGUCCGAAUAUGACACCCGGAUCUCCUAAACCAUCUCAAAGGUUUUGGAGUUAACUUGGGUUUUAAGAAACCCAAUAUUUUUAUGUUUGGAUGCUUUUGAAUAUAUAUGAUUUUUGAUGAAAUAUGUUGAAUAUUGUAUAUGAAUGUUGUUUGGAACUUUUCUGGGUGCAGGUGUUUGAAAAACCAUGUUUAAAUGUGUUUUGUUUGUCGAAAAUGGUAAAAGUUGGUAUUUUGUCCAAGUCCCUGUCGCCUGGGCGAGGGGAAGUUUUGGGUUCUGGAACUCCUCGCCCGGGUGACAAAUCCUCGCUUGGGCGAGCAAGGGUCCCCCGCUUAGGCAAAAAAGGCCCAGGAUUUCGAUGAAAUUCGGGAACUUUCUCGCCCGGGCGAGCAAAAGCCCGCUGGGGCAAAAAAAAAUUAAUGAUGUCUUUCUUGAGCGAGAAGGGGCCUCGCUUGGGCGAGGAAGGCUUAAGUGUAAUUGAAAUUUAAAGAUGAAUGGUCGCUUGGGCGAGAGGGCCUCGCUUGAGCGAGAGAUGCCCAGUUUUAAAAUGGUAUUGUUGAUUGAAUUUUCGCUUGAGCGAAGGGUCCACGCUUGGGAGAGAGACAGUGAUUGUGUUUGACUAUUUGGAUUGAGUGGUUGAGUAUGUAAUAACCCUAGUAUGGGUAUGUGAUAUAAAANNNNNNNNNNNNNNNNNNNNNNNNNNNNNNNNNNNNNNNNNNNNNNNNNNNNNNNNNNNNNNNNNNNNNNNNNNNNNNNNNNNNNNNNNNNNNNNNNNNNAAAGUGUCUUGGUAUGGGACCUGUACUCUUGAUUUUUUUCCGACUAGGUUAUUGGGAGGAUAUUGGUGUGAGGUGGAUGAUCAAGACAUAGCAUGCAUAUAUUACACUUGUGGAAGUGGAUUCUCACAUUUGAGUUACAAACAUCAUGCACAUAUUAUUACUUAUGGUUAUGAUGUAUUUUUAUGAAAUGUAUGUUGAUACAUUAUGGUUUAUGUUGAUAAACGGUGAGUUAUGAUGUCGGUUAUAGAAAUAUAUGUGUAUGUGAUUAUUUGGGGUUAUGAUUCCCACUUAUGUGUUAUUUAAUUAUAGUCAUGAUAUCUUGUCGAUGAAUGAUAUAUUGAUAAAUGGUGAAUUAUGAUAUUGAUGGGAAUAUACAUAGGUGGAGUAGAUAAUUGUUUAUGAGAACAAUUAAUGAGUUUGGUUAAAUUACUCAUAUUGAGUAGAUAAUUGUUUAUGAGAACAAUUAAUGAGUUUGGUUAUAUUACUCAUGUGGAUUGGAUAAUUGUUUACGAGAACAACUGGUGAGUUAUAAUGUGAUAUGAUAUACAUAUAUGAACUGUUUUUCAUAUAUGAGUGUAAUAUUCUGAGUAUGUCCACGCCGUCAAUGAAUUUAUGUUCAUUAGAUGUCUUACUCUCUCUAUUUCUCUUCUUUUCUAUUGCUUGCUUUUCGGACGUGUGCUCGUCAGGUAGACAACUUCGCUCGGAUUUAGAGCUACCCGUUCGUGAUGUUCCAGGAGGGGGCAUGCGGAAUUGAGGAGAGGCAGUACCCUAGCUUUGGAGUUAGCCACUAGGAGUUGCUUAUUCAUUUUGUGACUUUUGAAACACUGAUGGCUUCAGCUUGUUCAUGUCUUUGUUUAGUGUCUGCUGGCGAUGAUUAAUAUUUUCGCCAUUCCUUUUUGGAUUUUGUAUAUGUUAGUGGCGAUGUAGUUUCCGCCUUUGUUGACUUAGUUUGUAUGAACUAAAGAUGACUUAACCGUUUAUAUGCAGUGUGUUAUUCAGGAAAUUGUGAAUCAGGUUAAGUUAUCAUUCAAUAACGAUAAGUUGAUUUUCCGCAUUUGAGUUACUUAAAGUGAUGUCCCGGAAAAGGAAGGUUUUUAAAAGGAAACAAUUUUAUAUCAUCAAUUAAAAAAAAAUUUACCAAUUUUUCCGCAAUGUUUUUGAGAAGUAUUUUUUUGGGGCGUUACAAUUUGUUUCUUGAAAUGUUUCAAUGACCAAUUUCAAACCACUAUGUCAAAAACCAAGUAUAAAAUACAUUUUCAAAAAUGGGUUUCCUAAGAGCAUUUGUUUAAACUUAAUAAAAAGACUUUUGGGAUUAAAGUACCUAACUUAGAAGACUAAUAGAUCUUGAACUUGAUGAAUACAUUUCUUCUAAGUCUUCAAAGUCUUUAUCAAUUUACUUCUAAUUGGUGUCUUCAUCAAAACCACGCCAAUGUCAAGGCAAGGAAAUUUGCCUUCAUAUGAUUCUAAUAUGGAACAAAAGGUUUCCUAUUACUUGAUUUCAGAGUAAUAUAAACAUUCCUCUUUAGAAAUGUUGUGUUUAAUGAAUAUGUUUCCCCUUUAAUGGUGACAACUAUUCCAUAUCUUUCCCCUUAGAUAAGAAAGAUGAAUCCAAGUCCAAUAUAUAUUUCUUCCUCUAUGAUCACUUCAUUGUUUGAUGGUCUUCCAAUCACAAUAUCCACAUACCCUACCAAGACUCCUCCCAAUCCUUAACCAAACCUCUUUACCUAAUCUCUCCACCAAUAAACUUAUCUCACCUUCUCCAUUACCUCCACUAGAUAUAGAUAUCCUUCUACCUAUGUUCAUGAUUUCCAUUACAACAUUACCUUUUAUCUUAUAUUUUAUCUUAUCAUUCUUUAACCCCUAGGAAAUUCACUAUACCUUGACCAUGUCCAUUGACAAUGAACAACAGCAAAUUUUCUUCAUAAGAUUCUAAUCUCUGAUAAAAGGUUGACUUGAAGGAAAAACUUGACGGGAAAUCAAGCAAGUAUUUCAAUGGAUUUAAUGUAGAUAAUUUUAGAGUAGAGGUAACAUUUCUAUUAUGUUAUCAACACUUACUGUACUUAGAGAUCAAUUUACACAUCCAAACUUGUGGAUCAAUGGAUACUUAGUUUUAUCCAUACUUAUGCUUUGCUUCCAUACACGAACAAAUUGAGAGAAGGUGAUAUAUAAAAAGCAUUUUCCAAAUGCUAUUAUUAUAGUUUCUGCAUCUCAUGAACAUUUUUUGCUAUGUAGUUGCUAUUAUGGUUAUGAUACUGUUAAAAUUAAUAAGUGUUUCAUAAAUCAUGACUGCGUUAAAUGAUGACAUGGCUUGUCAUUUGUUUUUCCCUUUUGAUCAGCAACUCGUAGAAGGUCAAGAUGUUCAUCUAGAGCAAGUAAAAGCAAUACUCUUGGAUUCAGCUAGCUUCAACGGAUUGAUCAUUACAAGGUGAACCACAACGCAAUGUUAACAUUGUUGCUUAAUGACCAAAAUGCUAUUGAUUCAAAUUCACUAGCUUGCGGGGAAAGGCCG
Molecule: long non-coding RNA, 4791 nt
Filed under: Lupinus angustifolius (narrow-leaved blue lupine)
Lineage: Eukaryota; Viridiplantae; Streptophyta; Magnoliopsida; Fabales; Fabaceae
Description: long non-coding RNA (LANG_LNC000454)
Source: RNAcentral